UGUUAAAAAAUUUAUUCAUUUCCAUUGUUAAAAUUUGACGGGUUGAUAGAAUAACUAAAUAGUUACACAUAGUAUGCUAUGUGCAUCUCACGCUGACAUACAUGAAUCGAUUUUUAAUAGUAAAAAUGAAUGAAGUUUUUAACA
Molecule: non-coding RNA, 144 nt
Organism: Gossypium raimondii (Peruvian cotton)
Lineage: Eukaryota; Viridiplantae; Streptophyta; Magnoliopsida; Malvales; Malvaceae
Source: Rfam